AGAGCCUCUGAAUGGAAGAGGGAAUGGAGAGAAGUGUAUACAGACACUCAACGAAUCCUCAUUUCAAGAUUUAUCCAGUUCAUGUCUGGUUGCAGGUACCUAGCAUAUCAUCCUGGACAGCCCUGGAAGACCAGUGGUGAAUGAGGUAAGAGCCUGGCUUGAGAAAUUAGCUCUGUUCUCCUCGCUGCCCGUAAACUCAACUGUAGAUACUAUACACACCUGAAUGUUACCGAACAUUUUCUCCCUGUAAUCAAUCCAUUGAUAACGGACUCUUGACAAAUAAGUCAUCCUUACCUUGUUCUAUCCCUGGCAAUGCCUGGAUCGAGCUGCCUUUUCCUUUUUAGCCUCCUACUUUAUGAAAUCGCCAUCCCUCUGAAGAGCUUCACAUUUUCAUUUUAUUCAUUUUAUCCCACAAUCACACUUGCAAACAUCUUCCUGGCCCCCAGGCUAGAUUCCCAUGUUUAAUCUACCUGACCCAAUAAAAAUAUUUGAAUAUUAAAGCCCAAUUUAUGUUAUAAUUGGAACUCACAUGCAAAGCCGUCACUGCUACUGGCUGUGGUGAUGCAAGCCUGUAAUUCCUGCAUUUGGGAGGCUGAGGGGGGAGUUUGAGGCCAGCCUGGGCUACA
This 626-nucleotide long non-coding RNA is filed under the name Mus pahari (shrew mouse). RNAcentral describes it as "lncRNA (MGP_PahariEiJ_G0003679.1)". The record is from RNAcentral. Lineage: Eukaryota; Metazoa; Chordata; Mammalia; Rodentia; Muridae.